GAAAGCCUGAGGGAGAUUGAAUGACCCGCCCUAGAGAAUAUCAGAGCACUUUGCUGGACGUCUGAGGGCUUAAAAGGAUGCUGUCUUUACCAUCUCGGCUCCUGCCGAGAACGGGAUCGAGUACACACGUGUUUCAUGGUAACCCUCCUGACCUGUGCUUCAUGUGCCAGAAGAUUGUUGCACAGCCGAAUCCUGUGGCCACACUGAGAUGCGAGUGUGGUUCUGGAAGAGAAGACAGGAAGUCACAGGUGCAGCGUCCAUCCUGCCAGGUGAUCAGCUGACUGGUGUCUCUGGCCGUGAAGAAGUCUCUGUCGGACCAAUCACAACCUACAGCCGCAGACAGACGUGACGAAAAAGACGGCAGAUGUUAACUUCAGAAUUUGCCAACACAUAAGUAAUAUCUCACUUAAUGGUCUGGUUUGAGUUUUUGUUUAGUUACAAAAAAAUCCCAGCAGCCUGCAAUUUUUUUAUGAUUACAAACCUAUAUGCCAAUCAAGUGUUGGGUGCAACCAGUCGUCGUUUAAAAUGGGAAAAUCUCCUGAUUAUAUGCCUCAAUAUACAUUAACCUCAUCAAUCUAUUUUUAAAAAGGUGGUGAAAAUGGUGCAUUAAGUUGCUGCUGAAGCAAACCAAACAUUUCCUACUGCCGCAAACUUCACAUUAAAAACAUUUAAUUGGCGAAACAAAA
Scophthalmus maximus (turbot) is the source of this 686-nucleotide long non-coding RNA. RefSeq lists it as uncharacterized. The transcript is spliced from 2 exons. The record is from RefSeq and is a predicted model, not a curated record. Lineage: Eukaryota; Metazoa; Chordata; Actinopteri; Pleuronectiformes; Scophthalmidae.